Non-coding RNA from Drosophila innubila, 159 nucleotides. The record is from RefSeq and is a predicted model, not a curated record. Lineage: Eukaryota; Metazoa; Arthropoda; Insecta; Diptera; Drosophilidae.
UAUGCUCUCGACAAGCGACAACGUAUUCCAGUUGCAUGCGUCGUCGUUACUCAUCGAGCAAGAAUAAAAAAAAUUGAAAAUGUUAUUACUUUCAAUUGAACCAUCAGGGCCGUUAAGAUUCAAGUUCAUCUUUAUACGGUAGUAAGCAGUUCACACAAA